Molecule: ribosomal RNA, 254 nt
Filed under: uncultured bacterium
Lineage: Bacteria
Description: partial 16S ribosomal RNA
Rfam family: Bacterial small subunit ribosomal RNA
Source: RNAcentral
UACGUAGGGGCCUAGCGUUGUCCGGAUUUAUUGGGCGUAAAGAGCUCGUAGGCGGUUUGGUGAGUCGGGUGUGAAAUCUCCACGCUCAACGUGGAGGGGCCACCCGAUACUGCCAUGACUAGAGUCCGGUAGGGGAGUGUGGAAUUCCCGGUGUAGCGGUGAAAUGCGUAGAUAUCUGGAGGAACACCGGUGGCGAAGGCGGCGUCCUGGACCAACACUGACACUGAGGAGCGAAAGCCAGGGGAGCAAACGGG